RNAcentral lists this unclassified non-coding RNA (329 nucleotides) under soil metagenome. RNAcentral describes it as "partial contains 5.8S ribosomal RNA, internal transcribed spacer 2, and large subunit ribosomal RNA". The stretch from base 1 to 120 matches the Rfam family "5.8S ribosomal RNA", at positions 35 to 154 of the family's 154-position model. The record is from RNAcentral.
GAUGAAGAACGUAGCGAAAUGCGAUAAGUAAUGUGAAUUACAGAAUUCAGUGAAUCAUCGAAUCUUUGAACGCACAUUGCGCCCGCCAGUAUUCCGGGGGGCAUGCCUGUCCGAGCGUCAUUACAACCCUCAAGCUCAGCUUGGUGUUGGGCCCCGCCGCCCCGGCGGGCCCUAAAGUCAGUGGCGGUGCCGUCCGGCUCCGAGCGUAGUAAUUCUUCUCGCUCUGGAGGUCCGGUCGUGUGCUCGCCAGCAACCCCCAAUUUUUUUCAGGUUGACCUCGGAUCAGGUAGGGAUACCCGCUGAACUUAAGCAUAUCAAUAAGCGGAGGA